RNAcentral lists this ribosomal RNA (730 nucleotides) under uncultured bacterium. RNAcentral's name for it is "bacterial SSU rRNA". It matches the Rfam family "Bacterial small subunit ribosomal RNA", at positions 1 to 732 of the family's 1533-position model. The record is from RNAcentral.
UAGAGUUUGAUCCUGGCUCAGAUUGAACGCUGGCGGCAGGCCUAACACAUGCAAGUCGAGCGGAUGAGAGGAGCUUGCUCCUUAAUUCAGCGGCGGACGGGUGAGUAAUGCCUAGGAAUCUGCCUGGUAGUGGGGGACAACGUUUCGAAAGGAACGCUAAUACCGCAUACGUCCUACGGGAGAAAGCAGGGGACCUUCGGGCCUUGCGCUAUCAGAUGAGCCUAGGUCGGAUUAGCUAGUUGGUGAGGUAAUGGCUCACCAAGGCGACGAUCCGUAACUGGUCUGAGAGGAUGAUCAGUCACACUGGAACUGAGACACGGUCCAGACUCCUACGGGAGGCAGCAGUGGGGAAUAUUGGACAAUGGGCGAAAGCCUGAUCCAGCCAUGCCGCGUGUGUGAAGAAGGUCUUCGGAUUGUAAAGCACUUUAAGUUGGGAGGAAGGGCAGUAAAUUAAUACUUUGCUGUUUUGACGUUACCGACAGAAUAAGCACCGGCUAACUCUGUGCCAGCAGCCGCGGUAAUACAGAGGGUGCAAGCGUUAAUCGGAAUUACUGGGCGUAAAGCGCGCGUAGGUGGUUCGUUAAGUUGGAUGUGAAAUCCCCGGGCUCAACCUGGGAACUGCAUUCAAAACUGUCGAGCUAGAGUAUGGUAGAGGGUGGUGGAAUUUCCUGUGUAGCGGUGAAAUGCGUAGAUAUAGGAAGGAACACCAGUGGCGAAGGCGACCACCUGG